RNAcentral lists this ribosomal RNA (253 nucleotides) under uncultured bacterium. RNAcentral's name for it is "partial 16S ribosomal RNA". It matches the Rfam family "Bacterial small subunit ribosomal RNA", at positions 524 to 776 of the family's 1533-position model. The record is from RNAcentral.
UACGUAGGGACCGAGCGUUGUCCGGAAUCAUUGGGCGUAAAGGGCGCGUAGGCGGCCUGUUAAGUCGAACGUGAAAUCCCCGGGCUCAACCCGGGAACUGCGUCCGAUACUGGCAGGCUUGAAUCCGGGAGAGGGAUGCGGAAUUCCAGGUGUAGCGGUGAAAUGCGUAGAUAUCUGGAGGAACACCGGUGGCGAAGGCGGCAUCCUGGACCGGCAUUGACGCUGAGGCGCGAAAGCCAGGGGAGCAAACGGG